Molecule: ribosomal RNA, 232 nt
Filed under: uncultured bacterium
Lineage: Bacteria
Description: partial 16S ribosomal RNA
Rfam family: Bacterial small subunit ribosomal RNA
Source: RNAcentral
UGAGCAAUCUGCCCUUCUCAUCGGAAUAAGCGUUGGAAACGACGUCUAAUGCCGUAUACGACCUCCUUUCGCAUGAUCGGAGGUGGAAAGCUCCGGCGGAGAAGGAUGAGCUCGCGGCCUAUCAGCUAGUUGGUGUGGGUAACGCCCACAAGGCUUCGACGGGUAGCCGGCCUGAGAGGGCGACCGGCCACACUGGGACUGAGAUACGGCCCAGACUCCUACGGGAGNAGCG